RNAcentral lists this transfer RNA (71 nucleotides) under Loxodonta africana (African savanna elephant). It matches the Rfam family "tRNA". Rfam says of the family: Transfer RNA (tRNA) molecules are approximately 80 nucleotides in length. Their secondary structure includes four short double-helical elements and three loops (D, anti-codon, and T loops). The record is from Rfam by way of RNAcentral. Lineage: Eukaryota; Metazoa; Chordata; Mammalia; Proboscidea; Elephantidae.
GCAGUGGUGGCUCAGUGGUAGAAUUCCCACCUUCCAUGCAGGAGACCCGAGUUUGAUUCCCAGCCAAUGCA